RNAcentral lists this non-coding RNA (181 nucleotides) under Bos taurus (domestic cattle). RNAcentral's name for it is "Eukaryotic large subunit ribosomal RNA". It matches the Rfam family "Eukaryotic large subunit ribosomal RNA", at positions 2621 to 2802 of the family's 3401-position model. Lineage: Eukaryota; Metazoa; Chordata; Mammalia; Artiodactyla; Bovidae. The record is from Rfam by way of RNAcentral. RNAcentral also lists the same sequence under 3 other names.
UUGACUGGGGUGGUACACCUGUCAGACUGUAACACGGCUGUCCUAAGGCGAGCUCAGGGAGGACAGAAACCUCCCAUGGAGCAGAAGGGUAAAGCUCGCUUAAUCUUGAUUUUUAAUACGAAUACAGACCAUGAAAGCAGGGCCUCACGAUCCUUUUGACCUUCAGGAUUUUAAGCAGGAG